UAUGGCUUAUGGCUAUCAGUUCCUACAUUAU
This 31-nucleotide non-coding RNA is filed under the name Rattus norvegicus (Norway rat). The record is from RNAcentral. Lineage: Eukaryota; Metazoa; Chordata; Mammalia; Rodentia; Muridae.